This is a long non-coding RNA of Dermochelys coriacea (leatherback sea turtle), 1802 nucleotides long. RefSeq lists it as uncharacterized. The transcript has 3 exons. Lineage: Eukaryota; Metazoa; Chordata; Testudines; Dermochelyidae. The record is from RefSeq and is a predicted model, not a curated record.
UUUUAUACUUGGAUGACAUUUUUGGAUGAAGAUAAUUAGUUAUUUCUCAAGGAAGUAUACAUCAGAGCAUAUCACAUUUCCUGGACAAUUACUCAGACAAACCUGCCAUUGACUUCAGAGGGAGUUUUCCCUGAAUAAAGACUUCAGGAUGGAGCCAUAAAAAUACUUAUUUGAUAGUCUGAUUAUGCUGUGAGGAAAAUGUGGUAUCAAAAGACACCAGAACUUGAAUAUUCAAGUGGAAUAUAAGAUUUCAGGAUUGUGGAAGAUGGAAUUAAGGUAACUGCCAUGGCAACAUCUAAUAAAGCCUUUGUGAUGUGGCACAGCUCCAGCCUCCCACCCCAGCCUCGCACCACCACUGCUACAGCUACUCUGGCAGCUCCAAGGUGUUCUCAGUACAUUGCCGGCUGUUGAUGCUUUGUCGGUGGCAUGACCCUGGCCAUAGAACAUUUGUGUGUAUGAUGGUUAUUUUGGCAUGCUGCCAACAUUUUCCUGACAAACAUAAGUGAGAGAAGGAAAAAUGGUCAUUUUUAAUGGUUUCUAUCUCAGCAAAAGCUGAUGAUGAUAUUUUGGGACAAUGAAAAGCUAGAGGGUGUUCUCCCCGCCAAAUACCAAAGGUAUGUAAAGAAUAGCUCAAAAAAAAUUAUCUUUUAUAAUGGAAAGUGUUAGGCAAUUUAAUGUAGGGGUUGUUAUCAGCUCCACCUAUAUGAAAAAAAAGAAAAAAAAGGAAAGCAAAAAUGUAUUACAGUAAUGUAAUGUAAGACUCCCCUUGCUUGAAAACAACUUGCUUGAGUCACAGUACAUCAUAUCUAAUCUGCAGCUGAAUGGGUGCAGCAGUACCUAGAAGUCUCACUGGCUAAAGUUUUCAAAAGUGCCUAAGUCCCGUUUUCAACAGUGAGUCACUUAGGUACCUUUGGAAAUUGUAUCCACUGAAGUCAAUGUGGCUCUGCAUGGGCACAGAGAUCUUCCUGAUGAUUUCAGGGUUGGGAUCCUAGAUUGUCAAUUCCUUGGAACAAUUCUUAUUUUUUCCCUGCAGUGUAAAGUACCAUGCCUACCUAUGGUUCCACAUGUUUAAAUAUUUAAAUUAUAACAACAAUUCAGAGUUUUGUAUACAAAUAGGAGAUUAAGCCACUAUAUGAAAAGCAGUUUAUGAAAAGUGUACUGUACCUGACUUUUUAUUAGCAGAUAAGUUGCGAGUCCAUCUCUUACCCUUGAGACAACAGGUUUUAUUUGGCCAUUCUCAGACAUUAGUAUUUUAUGAUAUAUUUGGAGGAUACUACAUUAUGCAAUGUGUUUGAGCAUUACAGAGUCACAAAACAUUUAUAGAGUCAUAAUUGAUUAAAUAAUCCUGUAAACCUCACACCUGCUUGAUGAAUCCAGUGCUGCUAAGCAAGAGAACCAAUAGUCGACUGCAAGAACUUUAGUUGGGUACAUAAAAAUAAUCCACUAAAUUAACUUGGAUUUCUUUUCAAAAUUGGUUAACAGUCUGUGAAAAAAAAGCAUCGCGAGUUUCAACAACAGCUGACAUGUCAGUGCAAAGCUUACAAGCAUGUAAAGACCCGAGUAAAUGCUUGUUAAAUGUAAACUCUUUGUUCUCAGAAGAUAAUUAUUUACUCAAGAUAUUGUAAAACUGUAUCUCUGUAGGCACCAUGAUACUAGCCUGUUCUGCUAGUAAUGUAUUUCCUAAUGGACCCCACUCCUAGCAACUGCUCCCCAAAAUAGGUUCCAUUCCCAGUCCUGCAGCUUUGAACACUUGCAAGGAAACCCACAGUUCUGCAUUUAGAUCCUGCCUCUGCAACAUGCAC